UUUCCUGCAGCUCAGUGGUUAGAGCGUUCGACCGGUGUGCGGAAGGUCAUAGGUUCGACUCCUGUUGGGGUAA
Non-coding RNA from Desmophyllum pertusum, 73 nucleotides. NCBI's taxonomy places the organism in Eukaryota, Metazoa, Cnidaria, Anthozoa, Scleractinia, Caryophylliidae. The record is from the annotation of a GenBank genome assembly.